This 109-nucleotide small RNA is filed under the name [Clostridium] ultunense Esp. RNAcentral describes it as "yybP-ykoY". The record is from RNAcentral. Lineage: Bacteria; Bacillati; Bacillota; Tissierellia; Tissierellales; Tepidimicrobiaceae.
CGUAAGGUAAAAGGGGAGUAGCUUUUACUGUAAAAGCCGUCAAUUCAGGUUUUUCACCUCGGCUUUACAGGCAACGGAUUUUGUUGUUAGCCAGACCUAUACCACAAAA